GCAGUCUAACGCAGUCAAAAGACUGAGUGGCGCACGUCCGAGUAACACGUAACUGACCUACCCCCAAGUCGCGGAUAACUGGCCGAAAGGUCAGCUAAUACGUGAUGUGAUGUCCCCUUUCUGGGGGGCCAUUAAAGGUUUACUGCUUGGGGAUGGGGUUGCGUUCCAUCAGCUAGUUGGCGGGGUAAAGGCCCACCAAGGCAACGACGGAUAGCCGGCCUGAGAGGGUGGCCGGCCACAGGGGCACUGAGACACGGGUCCCACUCCUACGGGAGGCAGCAGUUAGGAAUCUUCCACAAUGGGCGAAAGCCUGAUGGAGCGACGCCGCGUGAGGGAUGAAGGUUUUCGGAUCGUAAACCUCUGAAUCAGGGACGAAAGACGCGUAAGCGGGAUGACGGUACCUGAAUAAUAGCACCGGCUAACUCCGUGCCAACAACCGCGGUAAUACGGAGGGUGCAAGCGUUACCCGGAAUCACUGGGCGUAAAGGGCGUGUAGGCGGUUAUUUAAGUCUGGUUUUAAAGACCGGGGCUCAACCCCGGGAGUGGACUGGAUACUGGAUGACUUGACCUCUGGAGAGGGAACUGGAAUUCCUGGUGUAGCGGUGGAAUGCGUAUAUACCAGGAGGAACACCAAUGGCGAAGGCAAGUUCCUGGACAGAAGGUGAAUCUGAGGCGCGAAAGUGUGGGGAGCGAACCGGAUUAGAUACCCGGGUAGUCCACACGCUAAACGAUGUACGUUGGCUAACCGAAGGAUGCUGUGGUCGGCGAAUCUUAU
Molecule: ribosomal RNA, 775 nt
Filed under: Deinococcus sp. R12
Lineage: Bacteria; Thermotogati; Deinococcota; Deinococci; Deinococcales; Deinococcaceae
Description: bacterial SSU rRNA
Rfam family: Bacterial small subunit ribosomal RNA
Source: RNAcentral